This 854-nucleotide long non-coding RNA is filed under the name Parus major (Great Tit). Its description in RNAcentral is "lncRNA (ENSPMJG00000001530.1)". The record is from RNAcentral. Lineage: Eukaryota; Metazoa; Chordata; Aves; Passeriformes; Paridae.
AUGGGAAAGGAGCGAGGAGCUAGAGACAUGUUGACGUCAGAUCAGACGGCUCGGAGCCAUCCUGCUCUCCACUUGGGUGUAAUCACGGCGACGCUUUCCAAGCCCCGGCCCGGCAGCGGCCGCCAGCUGGGAUGCGGGUGCAGUGGGACGCGGCACUCCAGCCCCGGGGCUCCUCGGUACAGCCCGGUUUUGAACUCCGGAGGCUCUGUCUCUUCUGAGUUUGCCGCCGAGGUUGUUUGUUUAUUCGUCUGUUUGGGACUUGGAGAAAGCAAAAACGGUGCAUUCCGCGGGCGGGGUUACUCCCCCCAGCCCCCGGCCCAGCGCUUGCUUUAUCUCUGCCCGAUUUCUCCCGGCGCAUUCGCUCACAGCGUUGUCUGUCUUCCAAAAUAAAUACCGAGCCAGGCAGAUUUCCACCUUAUGUCUUGGCAAGGAGAAAUUAGCCGAACAAAGUGCGACGCUUACGCGCGGGCAGUCGCAGGCGCGCUGACACCCCGUUAUCCGAAGUGGUAGUCGGGUUUAGAACGAGCCGGGAGAGCUGGGGGUUGCUGUAAAACAAGACGAUUCCCUACCCAAACGGCAGUGCUGCUGGCAAGGAGAUGGCUUUGCACCUGCUAUUAAAUCCUAAUGAGUCGCCUCUAAUUGAGAGCUGGGGCUGGCUGACGGUAACGCUGAACAGCCAGCAUGGAAGCCUUGGCUCAGCAGGACCCAAAACCACGUUUGAUACGCUUAUUUUGACAAACCUUUUACUUCAACAUUUUCUUUUUUUUUUUUUUUUUUUAUGUUUCGUAUCACUCUAUUUUUUCCCCCAAGGAGGUAAAAGAAUAAUAAUUGAAUAAAUACAACUUAAUCCUCCA